CUGGCCUGGGCGACAGAGCGAGACCUUGUCCCAAAAAAAAGUAAAAGAAAAAAAAAUUAUCUGAGUCAUGAACCUAACUCAGUUUUACAUAAAACAAGGGUUUUUUUUGUACUUUUAAUAUCUACUGAAUUUUCCAGAAGGAAAGACAGUUCUUUUUUUUUUUUUAAUUUUGUUCAGCGCUUUGCCAACAGGUGUUGACAACUUCAGAAAGUCAUGGUAUUGGCAGCAAGGCCAGGUUCAGAUUGAGCCCUGCCACCCUGCCUGUUCCCUCUGCUGUGGGCUUCUGCAUGGAGGGCAUUCGUCCACCUCAUGGAGUCCUGUGGCCCCAACGUUUACAUAUUCAAAUCAGUGUUUUAUUAUAAAUUACUUUCCCUUUUUUUCUCCAUCAUAGCUAUGGAAUAACAUAGUUUGCAACUGCAUGUAAAUAGGUAGGUUUCAUUAUUUAUACAUUUCAACGUAGAAUAGUAAGGCUUGAUAUAAAAUAUGUAUUGUAAGAAAGGCUCCUCGUGUCUGGCAGGGCAGGGACCUCAGCCCUAAUCACUGCAGGAGACAGCAAUGACCUGGUUUUCCUCCCUUCCUUUUCUUGGUUCACACCUUCAGCCCUGUUGUUAAGAGCUCUGUGGUGUUACUGGGUGCGUGUCUUUCAUGGAAAGCCAUCUUCCUGGAAUUCAGACAGAAUGUAGAACUAAAAAUUGAGGCAACAAGCAGAGGUUUCCAUCAGACUUCUUAGUUCUGGCAGAAGUCAAGAGACCCAGGCAAGGGUUCUGGGUCCCAACCCCCAGUCUUAACUCCCAAAGUGUCCCAUCUCCUAAAGUGGCCCAGAUUGUCACUGUCAACCACUGACUGUUCUCUCAGGUGGGAAUUUCCCAGUCAGCAGGAUGGGCACUGCAGAUGUGUGUCUGCAUGCCAGCGGACCCGGCACCCUCCUUCCUCCCUGCCAACCGCCUCCACCUCUCCCACUCAGCAGUUCACACCUUCUGGGUUUCCCCCACCCCCGCCCAAACCACACAGUAAUCAGAGAAUCAGUGGCUGUCACCGCUCAAAGGGACCUCAAAGUCCUCCUCCAGUCCCAGGCAUUUGAAGUAACAAAAUCUCUAACAUGUAUCCAGCUCUCAAUAUGCGCCAGCUGAUACACUUGUGUCAAUUUCCCUAACCUUCCCAAAAUCUCAUGAGGAGAGAGAGUGGGAAGGGAGAAUCAAGUUCCUGAUGCCUUGCUGGGCUCCCAGAUCGACAGCACCUUCUGCCCGCCUCGCAACAGGCAGCAGCUAUAGUGCUCCUGACACAUACCUGGGCUAGCAGACCUGGCCACUGCCCCGCAGUCAGCAGAGCUCAUCAGCCUUGUCUGCCACCGACCAAGGACCAGUGACUGUCCUCUCAGGGUUGGGAUUAAGUCGCAAAGGGUUUGAGAGAUUGGGGAUGACAAAAGGGACUUGGAGACUAAUUAGGAGCAGCAAUGAAAGCUUAAUUCAUAAAA
This 1474-nucleotide long non-coding RNA is filed under the name Homo sapiens (human). RNAcentral describes it as "HSALNT0290849". Lineage: Eukaryota; Metazoa; Chordata; Mammalia; Primates; Hominidae. The record is from RNAcentral.